RNAcentral lists this transfer RNA (420 nucleotides) under Bartonella sp. C65. RNAcentral's name for it is "partial 16S-23S ribosomal RNA intergenic spacer". The stretch from base 119 to 192 matches the Rfam family "tRNA". The record is from RNAcentral. Lineage: Bacteria; Pseudomonadati; Pseudomonadota; Alphaproteobacteria; Hyphomicrobiales; Bartonellaceae.
GAUGAUGAUCCCAAGCCUUCUGGCGAUCUGUUUACUGAGCCUUUUCAGGUUUUUAAGGAAAGCUUUGUUUUUCUUUUGUCAGAUUAUGCCGGGGAAGGUUUUUCCGGUUUACCCCGGAGGGCUUGUAGCUCAGUUGGUUAGAGCGCGCGCUUGAUAAGCGUGAGGUCGGAGGUUCAAGUCCUCCCAGGCCCACCAAUUUAUAAUAGCUUAUAGAGCGUUUUUAAGAUAAUUUGUUGACCGUUAAGGUUUUUUAUUUUGAGCUUUUUUGUUCUGUUUUAGGGGCCGUAGCUCAGCUGGGAGAGCACCUGCUUUGCAAGCAGGGGGUCGUCGGUUCGAUCCCGUCCGGCUCCACCAAUUAGGUCAUCAUCGUUGUUGAAGGAACAGUUUUUGCGAGAGGUUUAGAGACCUUUUGCCUGUUCU